This 261-nucleotide small nucleolar RNA is filed under the name Candida tropicalis MYA-3404. The record is from RNAcentral. Lineage: Eukaryota; Fungi; Ascomycota; Pichiomycetes; Serinales; Debaryomycetaceae.
UACUUUGUCCAAAAGUUUCCAUCACUUUAGACAGUGCCUGAAUCUGGUGGAUAUCAUUCAUGUUAGCUAUAUGAACUAGCACGCCUUUAAAGGAUCAGUUCUUGAUCUCUUUUGUGCCAAGUUGUAAUAGUGAGAUGAUGGUAUCUCAAUGCAAUCAGUUAUCAAGGCGAUGUGUGUAUGGAAAGAAUAAAAUUGCUUCUUUUAAGAACUUGUCUGGAUUUUUAUGAAAUGAAAGAGAGGUGUCAGGAGGUGCAAAUAUUU